GAUAAGAGGGAUAAGAGAAAGUAGGCAUUUUGGGUUAUCUAUACAUGUUUAAAUAGAAGGAUGGUAAAUAGUAAUGUAAUUGUUUUGGUUAAUGUUUAGAUUAAAUUGAUUAAAUACAGCAGUGAUAACGAGUGUUUAGAUUAAAUUGGUAAAUGCAGCAGUAAUAACGAGUGUUUGGGUUAAAUUGGUAGAUACAGCAGUGAUAUUGUGUUUAUCUGUGAAUCAGGAGUGUGCUGGAUGUGAAGAGAGGUGUGUAG
Non-coding RNA from Pelobates cultripes (western spadefoot toad), 257 nucleotides. Lineage: Eukaryota; Metazoa; Chordata; Amphibia; Anura; Pelobatidae. The record is from the annotation of a GenBank genome assembly.